CAACAAUUUUGUAUUUGUCCUAAAGUUAGAUCUUCUUUGAGUGACUCCUUCAAUUUCAGCCAUCAUUCUCCUCUAGCUGUAUCAAUAAGCUGCUGCUUCUUACUUGAUGCUUUUCUCCAUGACUGUGACCUUCACCAAGGGCCACUGCUUACCAGCUGCAGGUCACUUCCUGAGAGCCCUCCACCAAGUCCCCGAAAGAAGGUACUACCAGCUCCAUAUGGGUCUCAACAGGGAGGGAAGAUGCUCCCUUUAGAGUCUUUGUAUUCUGUUGACUUUCUCUCAAAGUUCCAUGGUAAAUCAGACUCUACUGAACAGUUGGAGUUAAGCAAUGAGGAUCAAAAUGUGGGAGGGGAAAAAUUAAAACAUAAUGCCCAAUAGGACUGGGCUUACAGUCCAGGAGAAAAGCAGACUCAACUUAAACCUUUCACAGGGAGCUCACCUGGAAAAUGCACCUCAAUGCUUAGCCGAGCUCCCUCCCCUCAGAUGAGUCCUCCUCACAUGGAACUUCUUUGCACAUCCACAGUGGGACUCAGUACUGGAGCCACUGCAGGGAAAGUGCUGUUUACCCUCUAACUCAUCCUUCCUUAAGAGUCACACUUUCCUAGGAUUUCAGUAACACAAGCAAAGCUCUUCUCAAAAUCUGAGUUAAUCAACCAAAAAUUAUGCAGUAGGAGAGGAGGGUCGUGGCUUCACCAGGAUAGUCCCAGGUGAGCUGUGGUACUUUAGGUCCAAUCUUGACAGGGUAAGGGGACGAUAUCUCCCUUUCCCUCCUUAUUCUCCAGGCGACAACCAAUGGAACACACACACACACACACACACACACACACACACACACAUCCAACUUGCAUAUUUUCCCAAAGCCCAGCACGAACGAAACUGUUUCCUAAAGUAUGAUCUAGGACACAUGCAAAGCUGUAUUUUAGAUGUGUUCAUCUUCUAGCCCCUUCAUCUUUCCAAAGGCCUCUUGGAGCAUAAGGAAUGAGGCCAAUUAGAGCAGAGCCACCAGGCCCUAAAUGGCCACCCUCUGUCCACAUAAAAUCCAGCCCUGAGUUUGAGAGAGCCUGUUGACCCAAUCCUGUUCUUCAGUGGGGCAUCAUCUCCAUACUCUUAUCUGUAGGAGGAAGAGAGGCCAGGGGUGUGGGGAUGGGCAUUUUCCUGAGCAGCUUCACCAGUGGGUCACACAGGGGUUAGUUAUGUAAGCUCUGCUGAUUUGUAAUGAUAGUGAGUCCAGGAUUAUAUUAAUAGAAUUCAUAAUUCCACUGGGCUUGUUCCAAAUCUUUUUGAACUUUCAUCUCUCUAACUAGACAUUAUUUUUAAAGACUUUUUAAAAAAAAUCAGCUAAAAGCCUUCUCUCCUCUCUCUAUCACUUUGGUCAUCCUUAUAUAUCUACACAUAGCUCCCAAAUGUUCACCUGCAGGCUUGGUCCAGCUGCCAAGAUGUCCCAUUCUGGCCACUGCUUAAGGUAACAGUUUCUAAGUGUUCACUGCAUUUAGUUUUGUCUCAUCUCACCUCUUGACUUCAAGAGUUGACCCUUAAGUUUCCCAGGAGUUUGAUACAAUCAGCCCAUACCCAUCCGAACUGAAAUUCUGGCAGAUUUAUAUUUUUAAAA
This 1609-nucleotide long non-coding RNA is filed under the name Marmota monax (woodchuck). Lineage: Eukaryota; Metazoa; Chordata; Mammalia; Rodentia; Sciuridae. The record is from RNAcentral.